This 484-nucleotide ribosomal RNA is filed under the name uncultured bacterium. RNAcentral describes it as "partial 16S ribosomal RNA". It matches the Rfam family "Bacterial small subunit ribosomal RNA", at positions 29 to 507 of the family's 1533-position model. The record is from RNAcentral.
AUUGAACGCUGGCGGCAUGCUUUACACAUGCAAGUCGAACGGCAGCGCGGGCUUCGGCCUGGCGGCGAGUGGCGAACGGGUGAGUAAUACAUCGGAACGUGCCCAGUAGUGGGGGAUAGCUCGGCGAAAGCCGGAUUAAUACCACAUACGACCUGAGGGUGAAAGCGGGGGAUCUUCGGACCUCGCGCUAUUGGAGCGGCCGAUGGCAGAUUAGCUAGUUGGUGGGGUAAAGGCCUACCAAGGCGACGAUCUGUAGCUGGUCUGAGAGGACGACCAGCCACACUGGGACUGAGACACGGCCCAGACUCCUACGGGAGGCAGCAGUGGGGAAUUUUGGACAAUGGGCGAAAGCCUGAUCCAGCAAUGCCGCGUGUGUGAUGAAGGCCUUCGGGUUGUAAAGCACUUUUGGCGGGAACGAAAAGGACUGUGCCAAUACCACGGUUCGAUGACGGUACCCGCAGAAUAAGCACCGGCUAACUACGUG